UCACUGGAGUCCCACGCCGUCCCCCGGCGCU
Molecule: small RNA, 31 nt
Filed under: Bombyx mori (domestic silkworm)
Lineage: Eukaryota; Metazoa; Arthropoda; Insecta; Lepidoptera; Bombycidae
Description: ovarian small RNA-6928
Source: RNAcentral